UGGGGAAUUUUGGACGAUGGGGGAAACCCUGAUCCAGCCAUCCCGCGUGUGCGAUGAAGGCCUUCGGGUUGUAAAGCACUUUUGGCAGGAAAGAAACGUCGCGGGUUAAUACCCCGCGAAACUGACGGUACCUGCAGAAUAAGCACCGGCUAACUACGUGCCAGCAGCCGCGGUAAUACGUAGGGUGCAAGCGUUAAUCGGAAUUACUGGGCGUAAAGCGUGCGCAGGCGGUUCGGAAAGAAAGAUGUGAAAUCCCAGAGCUUAACUUUGGAACUGCAUUUUUAACUACCGGGCUAGAGUGUGUCAGAGGGAGGUGGAAUUCCGCGUGUAGCAGUGAAAUGCGUAGAUAUGCGGAGGAACACCGAUGGCGAAGGCAGCCUCCUGGGAUAACACUGACGCUCAUGCACGAAAGCGUGGGGAGCAAACAGGAUUAGAUACCCUGGUAGUCCACGCCCUAAACGAUGUCAACUAGCUGUUGGGGCCUUCGGGCCUUGGUAGCGCAGCUAACGCGUGAAGUUGACCGCCUGGGGAGUACGGUCGCAAGAUUAAAACUCAAAGGAAUU
This 563-nucleotide ribosomal RNA is filed under the name uncultured bacterium. RNAcentral describes it as "partial 16S ribosomal RNA". It matches the Rfam family "Bacterial small subunit ribosomal RNA", at positions 355 to 911 of the family's 1533-position model. The record is from RNAcentral.